AUGCACGCUGGCGGCGUGCCUAAUCCCUGCAAGUCGAGCGAACAGACGAGGAGCUUGCUCCUCUGACGUUAGCGGCGGACGGGUGAGUAACACGUGGAUAACCUACCUAUAAGACUGGGAUAACUUCGGGAAACCGGAGCUAAUACCGGAUAAUAUAUUGAACCGCAUGGUUCAAUAGUGAAAGACGGUUUUGCUGUCACUUAUAGAUGGAUCCGCGCCGCAUUAGCUAGUUGGUAAGGUAACGGCUUACCAAGGCAACGAUGCGUAGCCGACCUGAGAGGGUGAUCGGCCACACUGGAACUGAGACACGGUACAGACUCCUACGGGAGGCAGCAGUAGGGAAUCUUCCGCAAUGGGCGAAAGCCUGACGGAGCAACGCCGCGUGAGUGAUGAAGGUCUUCGGAUCGUAAAACUCUGUUAUUAGGGAAGAACAAAUGUGUAAGUAACUAUGCACGUCUUGACGGUACCUAAUCAGAAAGCCACGGCUAACUACGUG
This 496-nucleotide ribosomal RNA is filed under the name uncultured bacterium. RNAcentral's name for it is "partial 16S ribosomal RNA". It matches the Rfam family "Bacterial small subunit ribosomal RNA", at positions 29 to 507 of the family's 1533-position model. The record is from RNAcentral.